RNAcentral lists this ribosomal RNA (326 nucleotides) under uncultured Bacteroidota bacterium. RNAcentral describes it as "bacterial SSU rRNA". It matches the Rfam family "Bacterial small subunit ribosomal RNA", at positions 28 to 351 of the family's 1533-position model. Lineage: Bacteria; Pseudomonadati; Bacteroidota. The record is from RNAcentral.
GAUGAACGCUAGCGGCAGGCUUAACACAUGCAAGUCGAGGGGCAGCGGGAGUAGCAAUACUUGCCGGCGACCGGCGCAAGGGUGCGUAACGCGUGAGCAACAUGCCCGUAUCAGGGGGAUAAUCCAGGGAAACUUGGUCUAAUACCGCAUAGUAAUUUUGAUUGGCAUCAAUUAAGAUUUAAAAAUACGUUGGAUACGGAUUGGCUCGCGUGACAUUAGCUAGAUGGUGAGGUAACGGCUCACCAUGGCUACGAUGUCUAGGGGUUCUGAGAGGAAGGUCCCCCACACUGGUACUGAGACACGGACCAGACUCCUACGGGAGGCAG